UACUACUUCUUAUUCUCCAAUUACUGUAGCUAAAAGAACACCAAUGGCGAAGCAACACGUGUUCUGCUUGACCUUUUUUAAUUUUUUUUUUCAACUUGCCAGGUCCAAUACGAUGCCGUUUCUGAUUGUACGUCUGUUUCUCCUCAUCUCUCAUGAGAUGAACAUGAUUUCUUUGGCGUGUGUGCUCUCCCUUUCUACCUGCUCCGCCGAACCAUCCAUCACCUCCUGAUUUCUUGAAUUCUCUUCCACAGCCGUCCUUUUCUCUCCAUCAAUCUGAAACCCUAGCACUGAUUCAGUGUUUUCGUUCCUCUUUCCACAACCCUCAGCGUGCUCCCACAAUUCUCCGGUGAUGGCCAUCACAUCUCCCUGCGUGGAUAUAUGUACUCUGGAGCUCUAUUUUUUUAAAUCAAUGGUUCUGCUGGAGCAACUAAUAAAAUUAUGCAGGAGGGGCAAUGGUAAUUUUGCAGCUAAUUCAAUGGUAAGAUUGCUUUGGUUCUAAUAGGCAAUAGCUGUGUUUUUUCUUUAGCAGGUCUUAAUUUUUAAUGGUCAAAGUUUAUCUGAUAUCUUUCAGAAGCUUUCAUUGCUAUUUAUAUUAAUACUUAAAUUGGUUUGAUUUAGUUGGUGCAUUGUUAUUUGCUUCCUCUAUGAAUUUGUGCAUUCUUUUAGUGUGCAAAUGGUGAACCCCUUGACUGAAUAAGUUGUAGAUAUUUUAUUUCCAUAUUGGGAAUUUGUAUUGCAAAUGGUGGAUUGUUACAUUGAAUAUGACUUGGGUGUCUUUAACUGAUCUCUCUAAUGUAGUAUUUUGCUGGGAUUUUUGCUGAUAUGGACAGUAGGAUAUGGUGAGGGAUGACAAAUUUGAUUCUUAAGGGGGGACAUUUUUUAUGCUGAAGUGAGUGACUCAGUAUAUCAAGAACAGUGGCUUUCUCUUUGUUGGUAAGGUGAUAGAUCAGCAUAGCAAGGUGACUUGGUUAUUGGACAGCAAGGCUUGAGGUCGCUUCUUUUUUAUUCAGGAUUGAUGAUCUUGGUGGUUUUGAUGCUCUAUCAUGAGGACAAAUGCUGCUGUUUUACAAGGAGCUCUAAUGCUCUUUUAAUUCUUCCUGAUUGCAUAAAACUGUACAUUAUUCCUUUCCUUGUCUGUAGCUUUAGCUUUAUAGCUUUUCUCCCUUUUUGUUGUGAGCUUGGCUGGUAUGUUUAACCAUCUAUUGCUCUGAUCUCUUUCUAAUUUGGUCUUGGACUGUUUCUCUAUUAUAUAAAUAUAUUUGGUUCUUAAAAAAAAGAGUAGUUUUUUUUUCAAUUUUUAGUGUCAAAAUUUGGUAACACGGAUCUUCAUACUUGAGUUUUCUUCCCCUCUUUACAAAAGGAAGCACAUAAGCAUCUACAAACAUUGGAUAUCCAAUUAAUUUAGUAACUAAAUACUUAGUGAACUACACAUCAGUGACAAAAUCUCUUAGAUGUAAAGCAUAAGAGAGAGGGAGAAAGAGAAACUGAACAGAAAGUGUGAUUUCAUUAACUGAACUAAUAGAAUGAACAGAUCACUGUAUUUAUACAGUGUAGAACCCUAAUAGAUUCACUAGAUGUUGAUAAAUAUACAUAAUUAACUAUAAUAGACUAACAGAAUAUAGGAGAGUGUGAUCAAGUGCAUCACACUCUAUACUAUGCAUAAUUUUAUCCUGAUUAGAAAGAGAUUCACUAAGUGAUUGUAUCCUGAUUAGAAUAAAGCUUCUCUUUCAAAUGCAUAAUUUUCCAUCAUCAUUAUGAAAUGCAUGUUAUUUCUGAGGUCGAAAAUGUCUUCUUAACUUCUUAUCUUUGCAUUGACUAGGCUCAAACAUUAUGGAGUUCUAUGGAGGCAGACAAGUUAUGAAGUUUGGGUAGUUUUAAAUCACUUAGUGAAUCUCUUUCUCUCUUGCUCAUGUAUGUUUUUCUCAUAUUUUCAGUAAGGGAAAUUUCCUACAUGCUGAAUCCAAUUUUGUUUUUGUUACUCACCACGCAUAUGUGCUUUUAUAAUGGCCAAAGACUCAAAAUGAUAAAAUAGCAGUGCCUCACCUACAAAUUACUUUAGUAUGAGCUAAACUGACAGGCUAACAUAUUCUUGAAGACUAAAAUUUUUACUGCUCAUUAUUUGAAAUUUGGUGGAAAUUUCUCAGCUUCUGACAGAGUGGAAUUAGCUGAAUGUGAUCUAAAAUGCUUAGAAUUGAUAUCUACAUUGUCAAAGCAAUAACAAGCCACUCAUUAAGGGGCCUUAAAUGGAGCAUUGAGAGGCAGCACCCCUGAUGCCUGGCUUGGGAUGGUUCUAUUUUUGGGAUAACCAUGGAAGAACCUUUUGCAUAACUUGGAAGUUAAGUGAAUCACUGAUGAUCAGUUGAAAGUUUUCACUGAAUCCAUGUUACUUACUCAUUAGUCAUACUCUAACUUGAUUACAAUUAUUGUGUAGUUUCUUUACAUUUAUUUUAGUAUUCAAGAUAUGUUUUGCAAAAAAAACAAGCAGUUGCUGACUCACCCGUGCAUGAUGCUAAUCUUCUGAGCUAUGCUAAUGGCACAUGUAGAGGACUGGCACUAGAAGCAAGAAUUCCAACUUAAAAAGUGUGUCGGAGUGGUGGAAGCUUCAGCUCUUGAUAGAGUUGUAGUAUGUCCAUCUCUUUGGUGGUGGAGUCUCAUUCUACCAUUACAUUGUAGCUUCUCAUUUAUAUUUACUUGGAUUUCAGUUCUUAUUAUCCUAUAAAAUUAGUAUGUAUUGUAAUUGCUGCUACUUUAAGUAAAUAAGUUUUGUUUCAAAGUAGCAAAGUAAAUUAAAUAAAUUUGGUUUUAAAGCCAAAGAUAGUAGUUCUUUUUUCAUAUUUCAGAAUCAUGUGUAUACAAUACUCUUAUUGCAUUAUUAGUUCAAAAAAAAAUCAUUUACUAUAAAACUGUUUUAAGCUUAUUCUGUUCUUAUGUGAAACUGGAAUGUUUGGUUUGUUUUCAGUUACUGUGAUAUAAAGACAUCAUGGUUGAACUGUUUGAAAUUUGAAAUGACUAAUUGUUUAUUUAUUGUUGUUCUUGAAGUUAUGUUGUUUAAUGGUUGCAGUAUCUUAGUGGAUGAAUAAGAGUGGUGUGUGCAUAUUACUGAACAUGCAGUGCACUUGGACCUCAUUGGCAAGGUUCAUGGGUUUUCUUCUGCAUAAAGCUAUUUUAACAGCUUGAAGGAACAAGACAAAACUGACAAAACUAUUUUAACUGUUCUCUUGAAUUGCUAUGUUUGGCAGCGCCUAAUUGAUAAGUCCCUCUCCCAUUUUCAGAAAAUGGAGGAGUUGGUCCCCAUGUGCUUUUGAACGAGACAAUUAAUUGGGUGGAGAAAAUAAUGAUGUUUCUGCUAUAUUUGGGGAAAUGGUCAGAUAUAGAUAGUGGAUGUAUAAUAAUAGAAUCAAAAGAGAGAAAAAGCAGAGGCGAUGAGGGUGUAUUGAAUUGGUCUUUAGCCAUGGAGCUGUCAUUUAUGUUUUACUCUUUUAUUUUCCUAUUUUCUGCGAUUGUUGCUUCUGGGCUUUGAGUUAGCUAAGUAGCCUGGUUGCUUUUUCUGCUUUUCCAAUUUGUAUUUGGGUUUAGCACCCGGUGUGCUCCUUAUAUGAAUUGUUUGCCUGCCCAAAAAAAAACUAGCUGAUUAUGGACAAGAGCAGCUAAUGAGACCUAUACUUCCUAAUUAAAUCAGAAGAAAGCGGAAGUUUAGUAUCUGGAAAGUAUUGCAACUUACUAA
Long non-coding RNA from Lotus japonicus, 3724 nucleotides. RefSeq lists it as uncharacterized. The record is from RefSeq and is a predicted model, not a curated record. The transcript is spliced from 2 exons. Lineage: Eukaryota; Viridiplantae; Streptophyta; Magnoliopsida; Fabales; Fabaceae.